GACCCAGGGCUAAAUAUAGUCCCACGCAACCCACCUCGUAGGCAUUUCUCUUCUGGUCGCCAGUGGUGUUGGUGGGUAUCAUCGCUGUUCGCUGUGGUCGCCACGGGUGUUGGUAUAUAUCUUCGUUGUCUGUGAAUGAACGUGCGCUUUAUAAGGUCCUGCAAAGGCUUUGAUACCUGAGCAGACCAUUACUCUUGCCCUUCAGCCACCUAGGCUGGGAACCUUAGUUAAUAUUUGUUAUGUUGCCGAAAGACGAGAGAGGAGAGUUGUGGUGUUGAAGGCAGUUUCCUGUGCACAGUUGUUCCACUUCACGACUGUUGGCUGAUGAAUAUAAUGGGGAAACAUUUUUCAAAAUGAGUAACAAACUCAGGCUAAGUAUGUUGUGGUAAGAAUACGUCUUUGGCAAUUUUGAGACAAUUUUAGAUUUUUUUAAAGUUGGAUUUCACAAUGCAUGCUGUGUUCCAAAGCUUCAGUAGUAUCGACAUACCACCAGAAAAACUGUCCGACCCCUGGUUGUGUUUGAAUCAGCAUUAUAUUUAUUACUGCUUCAAAAUAAUUGUGGCAUGCUUACAGUUAUGACAUUUUUUUUUUUUUUUUUUUUUUUUAAGGGAAUUAAGUGUAUGCGGUUACACAGUAGCAUGCACUUUAAUACAAAGUUCUACUUUAUUUGAUAUGUGUUAUAGGAUGGUGUUUUGGGGAAGAGGAGGAUGCUUUUUUUAAUUUAAAUUAUUGCUGUUGUUACUGCACCUUAUUAGGAUAGGCAGGUGGUGUGUCUCUAGUUUAAUAGGUAAUUUUAACAAAAAUUGCGGGUGGUUUCUGGGGCCAUAUCUUCGCAGGUACAGCUGUAUUUCAUAAUUUGUUCAAAUGGUGUCUCUCUCUCUCUCUCUUUGAAAAUUUACACAUGCUUUUCCAUUUGCCUCGAGUAGAUUUGCUGUUGUCAGUAAUGCUGAGAUCCAUUUGUGUAUCUUUAGAAUUUAGGACUUUAAAAUUAUUAUUUGUUGGUUGUACAAGGUUCAAAAGGCUUCUUUUUUUUCAAUUUUAUGUCUCAUAGUCACGUUUUAUCCAGACAGGCUGCAUUUUUUCCGAUUCUGGUUCUGAGGACCAUUGGCAAGUGCAGUAAAAAAACAAAUACAUGCAUGUUUGACAUUGCUGCUUCAUAUCUGGAACAGGUACAUCUCUUUUGAUGUGAUAGCCUCGCAUAUGGCCGCUGAUUGGCCAUCAGGCAUUUUUUCUGGGAUUCCGGUCCAUUUGAUGUCAAUGCUGUGUUUUAAUUUCUUUGCAGGCUCCUGUCCUCAAUUUCUUUGAACAUUUUUCUCUGUACAUCCCAGCCAGACAACUCUGCUGUUUGAUGACUGUAUCCUAAUUAUUCAUGUCUCCAGAACAUAUCAUAUUUGCAGGAUUUCUAUUUGCUAUGCAGCAAAACAAAGAAACUCUCACCCCUUCCAUAUCCAUAACUUGCCUACUGUCCAUUAAAUCCUUUAAAUAUAAAAACACAGGCUCUUCCUUGAGUCUGCCAAAUAUCCACAUAGUGGCUUGUCCAUCUUCAGUCUUCCCAACUUGUUUAACUCAGCAGAAUAACUAUACCCCCAGUUCUUGUUAUCCAAUUCUUUGUGUUUUGUAUGUUAGUCAUUGGUACGGUUGUUUGUCCCUUCAUAUGUUGUCCAUGUCUCAAGCACCAAGAGCAUACUCCUUACAAGCAUGGAUAUGUGCUAUAUAAAUCACACUUUUUAUUAACUUGCACAAAUCCAGAAUGCAUAGGUUUUCUUUGCAGGUCCUAAAAUUAUGCAGAUAAAGAUCAUUUAUGAUAUUGGGGUCAGGGGUGUCAGAUAAUGGGUAACAUUGUGACCCAAUUCAAUUUUUUCUCAAAUUGCCAAAGAAUUAUUCAGACCGGUCUGAGGCAAGUGAAUUUUGAACUUGCUUAUUGUAUGAUACUGUACAUGUUAAACAAAUCAUUUUUCAGUAUGGUUGAUUAAAAAAAUGGUAUUCUUUAAAAA
This is a long non-coding RNA of Pomacea canaliculata, 1994 nucleotides long. RefSeq lists it as uncharacterized. The transcript has 3 exons. NCBI's taxonomy places the organism in Eukaryota, Metazoa, Mollusca, Gastropoda, Architaenioglossa, Ampullariidae. The record is from RefSeq and is a predicted model, not a curated record.